RNAcentral lists this ribosomal RNA (253 nucleotides) under uncultured bacterium. Its description in RNAcentral is "partial 16S ribosomal RNA". It matches the Rfam family "Bacterial small subunit ribosomal RNA", at positions 524 to 776 of the family's 1533-position model. The record is from RNAcentral.
UACGAAGGGUGCAAGCGUUAUUCGGAGUAAUUGGGCGUAAAGGGUGCGCAGGCGGUAUAUUAAGUCAACUGUCAAAUUUCCCAGCUUAACUGGGAGCAGGCGGUAGAUACUGGUAUACUUGAGGGUGGAAGAGAGAAGUGGAAUUCUCGGAGUAGCGGUAAAAUGCGUAGAUCUCGAGAGGAACACCGAUGGCGAAGGCAGCUUCUUGGUCCAUAUCUGACGCUCAUGCACGAAAGCGUGGGGAGCAAACAGG